GCUGGGCAUGGUGGCGCAUGCCUGUAAUCCCAGCUACUUGAGAGGCUGAGGCAGGAGAAUUGCUUGAACCCGGGUGGCGGAGGUUGCAGUGAGCCUAGAUCGCGCCACUGCACUCCAGCCUGGGUGACAGAGCGAGACUCUGUCUCAA
Pongo abelii (Sumatran orangutan) is the source of this 148-nucleotide unclassified non-coding RNA. It matches the Rfam family "Metazoan signal recognition particle RNA". From Rfam's summary of the family: The signal recognition particle (SRP) is a universally conserved ribonucleoprotein. The record is from Ensembl. NCBI's taxonomy places the organism in Eukaryota, Metazoa, Chordata, Mammalia, Primates, Hominidae.